GGGUUGGUGGUCUAAUGGCUACCGCUUCUGCUUCAUAAGCAGAUGUUUAUAGGUUCAAAUCCAAUCCUGUCCC
Non-coding RNA from Aedes aegypti (yellow fever mosquito), 73 nucleotides. The record is from Rfam. Lineage: Eukaryota; Metazoa; Arthropoda; Insecta; Diptera; Culicidae.